GUACGCGGCAUCGACUCUGUCGUUGCCGAUGCUACUGGAAAGAUGACCAAACUUGAUCAUUUAGAGGAAGUAAAAGUCGUAACAAAGUUUCCGUAGGUGAACCUGCGGAAGGAUCAUUA
Molecule: ribosomal RNA, 119 nt
Filed under: Podisma pedestris
Lineage: Eukaryota; Metazoa; Arthropoda; Insecta; Orthoptera; Acrididae
Description: partial 18S ribosomal RNA
Rfam family: Eukaryotic small subunit ribosomal RNA
Source: RNAcentral